This 503-nucleotide ribosomal RNA is filed under the name uncultured bacterium. RNAcentral's name for it is "partial 16S ribosomal RNA". It matches the Rfam family "Bacterial small subunit ribosomal RNA", at positions 30 to 523 of the family's 1533-position model. The record is from RNAcentral.
AUUGAACGCUGGCGGCAGGCUUAACACAUGCAAGUCGAGCGGGGUGAUGGUGCUUGCACUAUCACUUAGCGGCGGACGGGUGAGUAAUGCUUAGGAAUCUGCCUAUUAGUGGGGUACAACAUCUCGAAAGGGAUGCUAAUACCGCAUACGUCCUACGGGAGAAAGCAGGGGAUCACUUGUGACCUUGCGCUAAUAGAUGAGCCUAAGUCGGAUUAGCUAGUUGGUGGGGUAAAGGCCUACCAAGGCGACGAUCUGUAGCGGGUCUGAGAGGAUGAGCCGCCACCCUGGGACUGAGACACGGCCCAGACUCCUACGGGAGGCAGCAGUGGGGAAUAUUGGACAAUGGGGGGAACCCUGAUCCAGCCAUGCCGCGUGUGUGAAGAAGGCCUUAUGGUUGUAAAGCACUUUAAGCGAGGAGGAGGCUCUUUUGGUUAAUACCCAAGAUGAGUGGACGUUACUCGCAGAAUAAGCACCGGCUAACUCUGUGCCAGCCGCCGCGGUAA